Molecule: transfer RNA, 72 nt
Filed under: Camelus bactrianus (Bactrian camel)
Lineage: Eukaryota; Metazoa; Chordata; Mammalia; Artiodactyla; Camelidae
Also listed under: 1 other name
Rfam family: tRNA
About the family: Transfer RNA (tRNA) molecules are approximately 80 nucleotides in length. Their secondary structure includes four short double-helical elements and three loops (D, anti-codon, and T loops). Further hydrogen bonds mediate the characteristic L-shaped molecular structure. tRNAs have two regions of fundamental functional importance: the anti-codon, which is responsible for specific mRNA codon recognition, and the 3' end, to which the tRNAs corresponding amino acid is attached (by aminoacyl-tRNA synthetases). tRNAs cope with the degeneracy of the genetic code in two manners: having more than one tRNA (with a specific anti-codon) for a particular amino acid; and 'wobble' base-pairing, i.e. permitting non-standard base-pairing at the 3rd anti-codon position.
Source: Rfam by way of RNAcentral
GAGGGUGUAGCUCAGUGGUAGAGCACGUACGUAACAUGCAUGAGGUCCUGGGUUCAAUCCCCAGUACCGCCA